Molecule: ribosomal RNA, 467 nt
Filed under: uncultured bacterium
Lineage: Bacteria
Description: partial 16S ribosomal RNA
Rfam family: Bacterial small subunit ribosomal RNA
Source: RNAcentral
GAUGAACGCUGGCGGCGUGCUUAACACAUGCAAGUCGAACGGAAAGGCCCAAGCUUGCUUGGGUACUCGAGUGGCGAACGGGUGAGUAACACGUGGGUGAUCUGCCCUGCACUUCGGGAUAAGCCUGGGAAACUGGGUCUAAUACCGGAUAGGACGAUGGUUUGGAUGCCAUUGUGGAAAGUUUUUUCGGUGUGGGAUGAGCUCGCGGCCUAUCAGCUUGUUGGUGGGGUAAUGGCCUACCAAGGCGUCGACGGGUAGCCGGCCGGAGAGGGUGUACGGCCACAUUGGGACUGAGAUACGGCCCAGACUCCGACGGGAGGCAGCAGUGGGGAAUAUUGCACAAUGGGCGCAAGCCUGAUGCAGCGACGCCGCGUGGGGGAGGACGGCCUUCGGGUUGUAAACUCCUUUCGCUAGGGACGAAGCGUUUUUGUGACGGUACCUGGAGAAGAAGCACCGGCUAACUACGU